This is an RNA transcript of Hipposideros armiger (great roundleaf bat), 1869 nucleotides long. It is a transcript of the gene named acid sensing ion channel subunit 3, with no coding region annotated. The transcript is spliced from 10 exons. NCBI's taxonomy places the organism in Eukaryota, Metazoa, Chordata, Mammalia, Chiroptera, Hipposideridae. The record is from RefSeq and is a predicted model, not a curated record.
UCAGCAGAACAGCAGACCGCCCUGCUUGUCAGGCCUGCCGCACCCUACCUGCUCUCUGCUACGGAGACCCCAGCCCAGCACCGGCCCGAGGAGCCAGAGCCUGCUCCCGGUCCAGGCCAGCCAGACCCUCCAGGCCACCGAAUCCCAGACAGCCAGGCCAGUGCUUCCCCACCUCCCUCUCGGGCUUGGCUCCUCUCCUCCACCUCUCCUGGCACCUGCAGUGACCGCCCCGCCUGGCCAGCCCCUGGGACUGACCCUCUCUUCUUUCUAAGCCCCUGCCACCUCGUCACCACCCCCAACCCUCUUAGUACCCCCACCUCGGCUUCAACCAUGAAGACCCCCUCAGGGCCAGAGGAGGCCCGGCAGCCCGCCUCGGACAUCCGCGUGUUCGCCAGCAGCUGCACACUGCAUGGGCUGGGCCAUGUCUUCGGCCCGGGGAGCCUGACCCCGCGCCGGGCGCUGUGGGCUGUGGCCGUGCUCCUGUCGCUGGCAGCCUUCCUCUACCAGGUGGCAGAGAGGGUGCGCUACUAUGGGGAGUUCCACCACGAGACGGCCCUGGACGAGCGCGAGAGCCACCAGCUCACCUUCCCAGCCAUCACCCUCUGCAACAUCAACCCGCUGCGCCGCUCGCGCCUCACACCCAACGACCUGCACUGGGCCGGGCAGGCGCUGCUGGGCCUGGAGCCCGCUGAGCACGCCGCCUUCCUGCGUGCCCUGGGCCAGCCACCCACGCCACCCGGCUUCAUGCCCAGUCCCACCUUCGACAUGGCCCGACUCUACGCCCGGGCGGGGCACAGCCUGAAGGACAUGCUGCUGGACUGCCGCUACCGUGGCCAGCCAUGCGGGCCGGAGAACUUCACUGCGAUCUUCACCCGCAUGGGGCAGUGCUACACCUUCAACUCUGGUGCCAACGGGGCAGAGCUUCUUACCACCCCCAAGGGCGGCGCGGGCAACGGGCUGGAGGUCAUGCUGGAUGUGCAGGAGGAUGAGUACCUGCCCGUGUGGAAGGACGUGGAGGAGACACUGUUUGAGGUGGGAAUCCGAGUGCAGAUCCACAGCCAGGAGGAGCCGCCCAUCAUUGACCAGCUGGGCUUUGGGGCACCCCCUGGCUACCAGACUUUUGUGUCCUGCCAGCAGCAGCAACUAAGCUUCCUGCCACCGCCCUGGGGCGACUGCAGCUCCGCAUCUCUGGACCCUGACUUUGAGCCGGAACCCUCUGACUCCCUGGACUCCCCCAGCCCCACUCCAGGCCCCAGGCCUCCCUAUAGUCUAGUGGGCUGUCGCCUGAUCUGUGAGACCCGCUACGUGGCUCGGAAAUGUGGCUGCCGAAUGAUGCACAUGCCGGGUGGCGCUCCCGUGUGCAGCCCCCAGCAGUAUAAGGACUGCGCCAACCCCGCGCUGGAUGCCAUGCUGCGGAAGGACGCGUGCACCUGCCGCAACCCGUGCGCCAGCACGCGCUACGCCAAGGAGCUCUCCAUGGUGCGGAUGCCGAGCCGCGCUGCUACCCGCUACCUGGCCCGGAAAUACAACCGCAGCGAGGCCUACAUCGUGGAGAACGUGCUGGUGCUGGACAUCUUCUUUGAGGCCCUCAACUACGAGACCGUGGAGCAGAAGAAGGCCUAUGAGGCGACAUUGGGGGCCAGAUGGGACUGUUCAUCGGGGCCAGCCUGCUCACCAUCCUUGAGAUCCUGGACUACCUCUGCGAGGUAUUCCGAGACAGGGUCCUGAGAUACUUCUGGAACCGAAAGCGCUCCCAAAAGCAUUCCAGCAGCAAUCUGGCCUCCCACCCCUCCCUGUGCCGUCACCAGGACUCUGUCUGCCUCCCACCGCACCUGCUACCUCGUCACACAGCUCUAGGCCCGAUGUCUG